UACGGGGGGGGGCAAGCGUUGUUCGGAAUUACUGGGCGUAAAGGGCUCGUAGGCGGCCAACUAAGUCAGACGUGAAAUCCCUCGGCUUAACCGGGGAACUGCGUCUGAUACUGGAUGGCUUGAGGUUGGGAGAGGGAUGCGGAAUUCCAGGUGUAGCGGUGAAGUGCGUAGAUAUCUGGAGGAACACCGGUGGCGAAGGCGGCAUCCUGGACCAAUUCUGACGCUGAGGAGCGAAAGCCAGGGGAGCAAACGGG
This 254-nucleotide ribosomal RNA is filed under the name uncultured bacterium. RNAcentral's name for it is "partial 16S ribosomal RNA". It matches the Rfam family "Bacterial small subunit ribosomal RNA", at positions 524 to 776 of the family's 1533-position model. The record is from RNAcentral.